AACGCAGAGAUUGUGUGUAUCGGAGUUGUGCUUUUAAUUCAAUGCACUUAUAACCGAAAGAGUUCUCUGCAACAUUGACUUGGGGAAGGUGGGCAGUUGAUUUUCAACUCAUCCAUUGAUUUAUCAACAAUCAUUUUCCCCACAUCU
This 147-nucleotide small nucleolar RNA is filed under the name Macleaya cordata. RNAcentral's name for it is "small nucleolar RNA snoR135". It matches the Rfam family "small nucleolar RNA snoR135". The record is from Rfam by way of RNAcentral. Lineage: Eukaryota; Viridiplantae; Streptophyta; Magnoliopsida; Ranunculales; Papaveraceae.